Molecule: long non-coding RNA, 517 nt
Filed under: Homo sapiens (human)
Lineage: Eukaryota; Metazoa; Chordata; Mammalia; Primates; Hominidae
Description: non-protein coding lnc-LGSN-6:2
Source: RNAcentral
AUAACGCUCCGCAGCUGAGGGGAAGGAUUGGACUGGACAGACAAUUUGUUCUGCUGAACUGAAAGUUGGCUAGCCUUCACUUCCUCUUCUGGUGACUCAGGCACAGUGGGCAACACACUUUUGCUCGGAGCCUGUUCCAUUCUUGAGCAAUACACAGAGCCCAGGGAUGUGGUGCAAUACUACAGAGGAGAAAUUAAGUAAAAAUCUACUCCCAAAACAAAGAUGCAGCUGUUCUCUUAGUUACAUUGGCAGAUUGUGUGUUGUCAAUGUUGACUAUUGCUUAGGGAACCACAGUAUAUCAGUGCAUGGCCUCUGCCUGGCCCUUUCGCACAAUUGUAACUGUAGCGGUCUGCAAAGAUAUGAAAGGAACAUCUGUGAGAUAGAUACUGAAGACUGCAAAUCUGCGUCCUGCAAAAAUGGAACAACUAGUACACAUUUAAGGGGAUAUUUCUUCCGCAAGUGUGUCCCAGGAUUUAAAGGCAAGUUUUUUUUUUCCUGAUAAAUUAAAUUUUCUAGU